Molecule: ribosomal RNA, 332 nt
Filed under: Siphonaria sp. UF 324728
Lineage: Eukaryota; Metazoa; Mollusca; Gastropoda; Siphonariida; Siphonariidae
Description: partial 12S ribosomal RNA
Source: RNAcentral
GAUAAUUUAAAUUUUAUCUCAAGGACUAAAGCCAUUUGGGCUAAAACUUAAAGAUCAUGGCGGCUUGUUUUAUUCAGGGGAACUUACCUACUAAACGAUAACCCACGAGUUAACUUUCUUUACUUCAAAGCUUGUAUACCGCCGUAAAGUAUUGAAUUGAGUUUAAUACGAAAUCUUAGAGAAAAUUACAGGUUAAGGUGCAGCAAAUAGUAAAGUAUUGGCGAGUUACAAUAAAUAUUUUUUUCGGAAAUAUUUGUUUAAAAUAAUAUAGAAGAUGGACUUGAUAGUAAAUUUUAAUUAAAAUAUAAAUUGAAAUUUAAAAAAACUAGUGC